CUAACGGCCAUGCUACCUCGCGGGUCAUUUUCCCUCCCGAAAUUACCGUUUUUUCGGACCAAACGGAGACGCUGCCCGCUGGACCUGUGGACACAGAAACGGAGACGUUUCAGGUAGAUCUACAAAAGAACACAGAGGACACGGAGCCAGGAGACAACCUCUCCGAAGGGUCCAGUCUGAACAGCGCAGAGCGUCUGGAUUUGCAGCAGCUUACAAAGCCAUCGGACAUAUUUCAGGAUUUUACUCGUCAUUGAUACCUCAAAAACUCGUGCCUCAGUAAAGCAGAAAACUCGAUCAAACAACUGUACUGCCUGAUUGUUUACUGUAGUGUUAUGCUGUUUUUUAUGUGCAUCUCCUUAAAUUGUCAUUCAUGC
Long non-coding RNA from Perca fluviatilis (European perch), 374 nucleotides. RefSeq lists it as uncharacterized. Lineage: Eukaryota; Metazoa; Chordata; Actinopteri; Perciformes; Percidae. The record is from RefSeq and is a predicted model, not a curated record. The transcript has 3 exons.